UAUUACAAAUUUCAUUUAUUUGAACUGUUAAAAACUGACGUAGCUGAUGGAAUAACCAGAUAGUGACAUGCGGCAUGCCAUGUGUACCUCAGCAUGAGGUACAAGGGGCAGUUUUUAACAGUAAGAAUGGAUGAAAUAUUACCA
Non-coding RNA from Gossypium raimondii (Peruvian cotton), 144 nucleotides. Lineage: Eukaryota; Viridiplantae; Streptophyta; Magnoliopsida; Malvales; Malvaceae. The record is from Rfam.